Long non-coding RNA from Mangifera indica (mango), 895 nucleotides. RefSeq lists it as uncharacterized. The record is from RefSeq and is a predicted model, not a curated record. The transcript has 2 exons. NCBI's taxonomy places the organism in Eukaryota, Viridiplantae, Streptophyta, Magnoliopsida, Sapindales, Anacardiaceae.
CGUGCCAAUAUCUCGGUGCUUUUUCAUUUCUCAACAGCGUUCAAAGUUCAAACUCACUCAUUCAUCAGUAACAAAGAUUCUUCUACACUGACAUGAAGCAUAACCAUAUAGUUUAUCUCGACAGAAAUAUUCACUGAAAAAGUAAAACACAGAAAGCAAGAAUGACAAGCGAGAAACAUAUCCAGGAAUAGUAAAACCAUAUUCGAUAGUUCCAGUGUGAAGAUGGGGACCUCCUGUUGAUUCUUUCAAUCUUCUAAUUAAUCCGAGAUCAUGUUCAUCUAAGCUUUUCUACUAGAGCAAGAUCCUAGGGUUUUUCUUUUAUCAGUUUUAUGCAGAUUCCAGUAAACUUUACCAUGAAAAAGGAAAAAGAUCGAUCCCAUUUCUCUGAUUAUGAUUUUGUCUAUAUAUCAACAUCGGGCUUCCACAAAUAGACCAUAGGAAUACUCCAUAUUUCAUGGAAAAUUAAACUGAUUAAGUGGUUGUUCUGAUUGUCCCUUACCUUUUAAUAACUCAGUUACACAAUGGAUAAUAAGACGAUUAGGGCAUAAGAGGCAGGCCAAGAGUAGGGUUUGACUCAAAACCUAAUCAGUUCAAUUUGAUUCAGACUGAAUUCAUGUUAUUAUUUUAGUUUAAUGGAUGAUAUUAUUUAUUUUAUUAAUAAUAUUAUAAAUCCGAUAAUACUAUUUAUAUUUUCAACCAAUUCAAAUGAGGAUUUGAACCAAACUCGAAUCCAAUCCUAACAAAAGGGCUCACUCUUUUUUCAUCUCAAAGUUUCAGUUUCAGUGGGAUGAAGAUGAACAGACUCCAUUUUCACAUCCCAUGUAAUUCUGCUUUCAUUGCAGCUUUGAAUUUAUGGAAACAUUAAGAAUGAGCGAGGUCUUCUUCAGAAAUUAAA